CACAAUAAAAUAUGAAGGCUGUACGCGGCUGUGCUCUCGGGCCAGUUUUGCGGAGGCUGAAUUAUUUAUUACCCUUGUUUUUUGCGCACUUGUUGUUUCCUGGGCGGGUUCGCCCGCCACCAGGACCACAUCAUAAACCUUUUUUAUGCAGUUGCAAUCAGCGUCAGUAUAACAAAUGUAAAUCAUUUA
This 189-nucleotide unclassified non-coding RNA is filed under the name soil metagenome. Its description in RNAcentral is "partial internal transcribed spacer 1". The record is from RNAcentral.